AUGAAACCACUCAAUUACCUAUCCGUUCGGUUUCAUUUCCGAGGCGAAUUACAUCAUGAUGGAAUUCAGUGGAAAUAUUUGGAUGGAAGGUCAGGAAUGUCCACAAUUGAGUAUGACAAAUUGUGUCUACAAGAUUUGAAGAAACACCUUGCAGAUCAUGUUUCUUGUUCUGAUGAGGUACUAAAUGCCACAACUUUGCAUUGGAUGUUUCCUUUAAAUGGCAAAGGUGCUCUGGUUAUUAUGGAUGAUGAAGAAUCGGUCCUUCAAAUGGUCAAAUGUGUAACUGAUGUUGGUGUUAUAGAUCUUUAUGCUAACAUGCCAAAAGAGCCUAGUGCCAAGACUAGUGAUUGGGAGGUAGAACAGGGAGAGGGACAAUGGGGAGAAGAACAACAAAAACAAUGUGUAGAUCAGCAGAAAAAUUCAGAGGAAUGCAAAGGAGGUGCAGAGGAGAUGCAAGAGACAGCUGAAGAUGCACGUGCGUUUCAUCAGCCCUAA
RNAcentral lists this ribosomal RNA (495 nucleotides) under Triticum aestivum (bread wheat). RNAcentral's name for it is "partial small subunit ribosomal RNA". The record is from RNAcentral. Lineage: Eukaryota; Viridiplantae; Streptophyta; Magnoliopsida; Poales; Poaceae.